GAUGAACGCUGGCGGCGUGCUUAACACAUGCAAGUCGAACGGAAAGGCCCAAGCUUGCUUGGGUACUCGAGUGGCGAACGGGUGAGUAACACGUGGGUGAUCUGCCCUGCACUUCGGGAUAAGCCUGGGAAACUGGGUCUAAUACCGGAUAGGACGAUGGUUUGGAUGCCAUUGUGGAAAGUUUUUUCGGUGUGGGAUGAGCUCGCGGCCUAUCAGCUUGUUGGUGGGGUAAUGGCCUACCAAGGCGUCGACGGGGAGCCGGGCUGUGAGGGGGUACGGCCACAUUGGGACUGAGAUACGGCCCAGACUCCUACGGGAGGCAGCAGUGGGGAAUAUUGCACAAUGGGGGCAAGCCUGAUGCAGCGACGCCGCGUGGGGGAUGACGGCCUUCGGGUUGUAAACUCCUUUCGCUAGGGACGAAGCGUUUUUGUGACGGUACCUGGAGAAGAAGCACCGGCUAACUACGUG
Molecule: ribosomal RNA, 468 nt
Filed under: uncultured bacterium
Lineage: Bacteria
Description: partial 16S ribosomal RNA
Rfam family: Bacterial small subunit ribosomal RNA
Source: RNAcentral